RNAcentral lists this ribosomal RNA (483 nucleotides) under uncultured bacterium. RNAcentral describes it as "partial 16S ribosomal RNA". It matches the Rfam family "Bacterial small subunit ribosomal RNA", at positions 28 to 507 of the family's 1533-position model. The record is from RNAcentral.
GACGAACGCUGGCGGCGUGCUUAACACAUGCAAGUCGAACGCUGAAGCUCAGCUUUUGUUGGGUGGAUGAGUGGCGAACGGGUGAGUAACACGUGAGUAACCUGCCCCCUUCUUUGGGAUAACGCCCGGAAACGGGUGCUAAUACUGGAUAUUCACUGGUCUUCGCAUGGGGGUUGGUGGAAAGGGUUUUUCUGGUGGGGGAUGGGCUCGCGGCCUAUCAGCUUGUUGGUGGGGUGAUGGCCUACCAAGGCUUUGACGGGUAGCCGGCCUGAGAGGGUGACCGGUCACAUUGGGACUGAGAUACGGCCCAGACUCCUACGGGAGGCAGCAGUGGGGAAUAUUGCACAAUGGGCGCAAGCCUGAUGCAGCGACGCCGCGUGAGGGAUCGAGGCCUUCGGGUUGUGAACCUCUUUCGCUCAUGGUCAAGCCGCAACAAUGGUUGUGGUGAGGGUAGUGGGUAAAGAAGCGCCGGCUAACUACGUG